CAGUAGCCCGGGAAUACGAAGGGGGCUAGCGUUGUUCGGAUUUACUGGGCGUAAAGCGCACGUAGGCGGACUUUUAAGUCAGGGGUGAAAUCCCGGGGCUCAACCCCGGAACUGCCUUUGAUACUGGAAGUCUUGAGUAUGGUAGAGGUGAGUGGAAUUCCGAGUGUAGAGGUGAAAUUCGUAGAUAUUCGGAGGAACACCAGUGGCGAAGGCGGCUCACUGGACCAUUACUGACGCUGAGGUGCGAAAGCGUGGGGAGCAAACAGGAUUAGAUACCCCAGUAGUCCCUGUCUCUUAUACA
RNAcentral lists this ribosomal RNA (301 nucleotides) under uncultured bacterium. RNAcentral's name for it is "partial 16S ribosomal RNA". It matches the Rfam family "Bacterial small subunit ribosomal RNA", at positions 509 to 808 of the family's 1533-position model. The record is from RNAcentral.